GGGAAGGGAUUCUGUCAUUGCCUUCUAUGUGGGUGGUGAGUGCAGGCUCUGCUCAUCCUAGUUCAGCAUUCAUCAUCAGUGGCCCUUACUCCCUCUCAUGCCCAUCCAUAUUUGCUUGCUUGCUUGCUGCAAUUUAUGUUCAGAGACGACUAAACUGCAAAAACCUGAAACUUUUAGUUCCUUCUUUCUUCAGAAAACUAAAAACUCUGCAGCAGAUUUAUCUUCAGGUUGAUACUAACGACACAUACUAACUUGAUAGUGUUGGUGUCCUCGGGCGUAGACCACUGUGUGCAGCCUCUUCCAUGGACGUAGCAGCUGCUCCGACCCCGCUGCCGACGCCAUGGAGAUCGUCAAGGUAUCUCUCUUUGCUCUCUCUCUCUCUCUCUCAUGUCAUGCGUGUCCCGGUCGUCAAUUACCCGGAGAUGUUGCUUGUUUUCACUAGUGUACAACAAUUUGUCUAGUACGAGAUUUGACAAGCCAAGAUGAGAUCUUGUAGCGAAAAUUCUUCUGCUGGUCACACAAGUGAGCCUAUCUAUGGCAAUUUUGUCUUGUCUUGAUCAGGUCCAACACUUAACUUUCAUUGUGUGGAACUGGAACGAGCACUUUGCAUUCCUAGGCUGGUGAAUAAGUAUGCAUUGUUUUUAGGGGAAGAUGUUGUCUUGUUAAUUCCUGUAAAUUCCCUUUGACACAAGAGAAUUGUUGUGUGGCUUACUGCUGAGAAAUCUGACAUUCCUCUGAUGCAUUACAUUGCCUCUGCACUAGACUGAUCUUUUUAUGUCCACCCAGAUUGCAUUCCUCGGGAAGAUACUCCUUUCGUCCAUCAAACCUACCGGACAUGAUGGAAAAUCUCCAUCGCGCACGACACCGGUCAUUUUCUCUUGCCAAGCGGUGCUGCAGAAGUUGACGCGGUUUGGGCUUGAAGAUGCACACGAUGGCACCGUCGUCCUCGUGCUUUCUUCGCUGAUGAAGAUGCACUGGAUGGCGUCGUUGUCCUCGGGCUCUCUCCGCUGAUGAAGAUGCACUGGAUGGUGCAGUCGUCCUCGGGCUUUCUCCGCUGAUAAAGAUGCACUGGAUCUCGGCGUCAUCCUCGAGCUUUCUCCAUUGAUGGGUUAGGUUUCAGAAUUAAGCCAUUUAUGUAGUAGUUUGGCUCUGUCAUGUUGUAAUGUUUGUGAUGGAAGGACGCGAAGUACCUGUGCUUCCUGGGAUGUGUAGUGGACUCGAGAUGUUUUUUAUCACCUCAUCUGAGAAGUAGUUGAUGCGUGCGUGUUCCUGUUUGAUCAAAUCUGGUGGAAGUAACAUCUUCAUUGUGAAGGUUGGGAUGUGAAAUGAUGUGCAUCGUUAUGGGAAUUUUCUUUCUGGGUUAACUGCAUCAAGAGUUAAGUUGAUCAUAUUAUU
Molecule: long non-coding RNA, 1395 nt
Filed under: Triticum aestivum (bread wheat)
Lineage: Eukaryota; Viridiplantae; Streptophyta; Magnoliopsida; Poales; Poaceae
Description: long non-coding RNA (TAES_LNC022635)
Source: RNAcentral